RNAcentral lists this ribosomal RNA (502 nucleotides) under uncultured Sphingobacteriales bacterium. RNAcentral's name for it is "bacterial SSU rRNA". It matches the Rfam family "Bacterial small subunit ribosomal RNA", at positions 903 to 1382 of the family's 1533-position model. Lineage: Bacteria; Pseudomonadati; Bacteroidota; Sphingobacteriia; Sphingobacteriales. The record is from RNAcentral.
CGCCUUGCCAGCCCGCUCAGAAACUCAAAGGAAUUGAGGGGGCCCGCACAAGCGGUGGAGCAUGUGGUUUAAUUCGAUGAUACGCGAGGAACCUUACCUGGGCUCAAAUGUAUGUUGACGUAUUCUGAAAGGGAUACUUCUUCGGACAAUAUACAAGGUGCUGCAUGGUUGUCGUCAGCUCGUGCCGUGAGGUGUCGGGUUAAGUCCCAUAACGAGCGCAACCCCUAUCAUUAGUUGCCAUCAGGUCAAGCUGGGGACUCUAAUGAAACUGCCUACGCAAGUAGUGAGGAAGGUGGGGAUGACGUCAAAUCAGCACGGCCCUUACGGCCUGGGCUACACACGUGCUACAAUGGUCGGUACAAAGGGUUGCCAAGCCGCGAGGUGGAGCUAAUCCCAUAAAACCGAUCGUAGUCCGGAUCGCAGUCUGCAACUCGACUGCGUGAAGUCGGAAUCGCUAGUAAUCGUGAAUCAGAAUGUCACGGUGAAUACGUUCCCGGGCCUU